Molecule: ribosomal RNA, 1497 nt
Filed under: human oral metagenome
Description: bacterial LSU rRNA
Rfam family: Bacterial large subunit ribosomal RNA
Source: RNAcentral
GUGGAGGACCGAACUGGUUGUCGUUGAAAAGACUUCGGAUGACCUGAGGGUAGGGGUGAAAGGCCAAUCAAACUGGGAAAUAGCUCGUACUCCCCGAAAUGCAUUUAGGUGCAGCGUUGUAAUAAAGUUUAAUAGAGGUAGAGCUACUGAUUGGAUGCGGGGGUUUCACCGCCUACCAAUUCCUGACAAACUCCGAAUGCUAUUAAAUGUUUCACAGCAGUGAGGGCUUGGGUGCUAAGGUCCAAGUCCGAGAGGGAAAGAACCCGGACCAUCAGCUAAGGUCCCCAAAUAUAUGCUAAGUUGACCAAACGCGGUCUGACUGCACUGACAGCUAGGAUGUUGGCUUGGAAGCAGCCAUACAUUUAAAGAGUGCGUAACAGCUCACUAGUCGAGCGGUUGGGCAUGGAUAAUAAACGGGCAUAAGCAUAUUACCGAAGCUAUGGGGUUAUACAUUAGUAUAUACCGGUAGGGGAGCAUUCUAUUGGCGUUGAAGCUAAAGGCGUGAGCCAUAGUGGAGCCUAAUAGAAAAGAAAAUGUAGGCAUAAGUAACGAUAAGGCAGGCGAGAAACCUGCCCGCCGAAAGAUCAAGGUUUCCUCAGCUAUGCUAAUCAGCUGAGGGUUAGUCGGGGACUAACGCGAACCCGAGUAGGGGUAGUGGAUGUACAAUAGGUUAAUAUUCCUAUACCAUUAGUCUAUUAAAAGUGACGGAAUGAGAUAGCUACCGCGUACUGACGGAAUAGUACGUUUAAGGAGUUGUUAUGACUUCAAAAGUACACUGAGGCUUCGGCUGAUGUGAGAGUGGCGACAACGUUUCCAAGAAAAGCGAAGAUUAAUGCCCGUACCGUAAACCGACACAGGUGAUUGGGAUGAGAAUUCUAAGGCGCUCGAGAGAUUCAUGGCUAAGGAACUAGGCAAAAUAGACCUGUAACUUCGGGAGAAAGGUCGCCUAUCGUAAGAUAGGCCGCAGUGAAAAGGUCCAAGCGACUGUUUAUCAAAAACACAGGACUCUGCAAAAUCGAAAGAUGAGGUAUAGGGUCUGACACCUGCCCGGUGCUGGAAGGUUAAGAGGAGAGCUUAGCAGCAAUGCGAAGGUUUGAAUUGAAGCCCCAGUAAACGGCGGCCGUAACUAUAACGGUCCUAAGGUAGCGAAAUUCCUUGUCGGGUAAGUUCCGACCUGCACGAAUGGUGUAACGAUUUGGACACUGUCUCGGCCAUGAGCUCGGUGAAAUUGUAGUAUCGGUGAAGAUGCCGAUUACCCGCAGUGGGACGAAAAGACCCUGUGCACCUUUACUAUAUCUUCGUAUUGGUCUUGGAUAAGUGAUGCGUAGGAUAGGUGGGAGACUAAGAAGCGGCUAUUCCGGUAGUUGUGGAGUCAUUGUUGAAAUACCACCCUUUGCUUAUCUGAGGUCUAACCCUGCUAAGAGUAGGGGACAAUUCGUGGAGGGUAGUUUGACUGGGGUGGUCGCCUCCAAAAGUGUAACGGAGGCUUCUAAAGGU